RNAcentral lists this ribosomal RNA (820 nucleotides) under Glyptocombus saltator. Its description in RNAcentral is "bacterial SSU rRNA". It matches the Rfam family "Eukaryotic small subunit ribosomal RNA", at positions 490 to 1221 of the family's 1831-position model. Lineage: Eukaryota; Metazoa; Arthropoda; Insecta; Hemiptera; Schizopteridae. The record is from RNAcentral.
ACUCAUCCGAGGCCCGUAAUCGGAAUGAGUACACUUUAAAUCCUUUAACAAGGAUCCAUUGGAGGGCAAGUCUAGUGCCAGCAGCCGCGGUAAUUCUAGCUCCAAUAGCGUAUAUUAAAGCUGUUGCGGUUAAAAAGCUCGUAGUUGGUUCUGUGUUCCACGCUGUCGGUUCACCGCAUGUCUGUGUAACUGACAUGUCGUGGGACGUCCUGCCGGUGGUAGUUAAACGCCAGGUGCUCAAGUCUUGGACUUGUUCCAUUGAUUUUGAGCCAACUGGUUAGUUUAAAUUACCGAGCGCACUUACCCGCCCUGGUGCUCUUUACUGAGUGUCGAGGAGGGCCGGCACAUUUACUGUGCACAAAUUAGAGUGCUCAAGGCAGGCAAAAUUACGCCUAAAUAGUGGUGCAUGGAAUAAUAGAAUAAGACUUUGGUUUUAUUUUGUUGGUUUUUUGAACCUAAGGUAAUGAUCAAUAUGGACGGUCGGGGGCAUUCGUAUUGCGACGUUAGAGGUGAAAUUCUUGGAUCGUCGCAAGACGCACAAGAGCGAAAGCAUUUGCCAAGUACGUCCUAAUUGAUCAAGAACGAAAGUUAGAGGCUCGAAGGCGAUCAGAUACCGCCCUAGUUCUAACCAUAAACGAUGUCAGCCAGCGAUCCGUCGGAGUUUAUAUCAUGACUCGACGGGCAGCUUCCGGGAAACCAAAGCUUUUGGGUUCCGGGGGAAGUAUGGUUGCAAAGCUGAAACUUAAAGGAAUUGACGGAAGGGCACCACCAGGAGUGGAGCUUGCGGCUUAACUUGACUCAACACGGGAAAUCUCACCAG